Molecule: ribosomal RNA, 434 nt
Filed under: uncultured bacterium
Lineage: Bacteria
Description: partial 16S ribosomal RNA
Rfam family: Bacterial small subunit ribosomal RNA
Source: RNAcentral
AGCGAACGCUGGCGGCAGGCCUAACACAUGCAAGUCGAACGAACUUUUCGGGUUUAGUGGCGGACGUGUGAGUAAGACGUGGGAACGUUCCUUUAGGAUCGGAAUAACUCAGGGAAACUUGUGAUAGCACCGAAUGUGCCCUUCGGGGGCAAGAUUUAUAGCCUUUAGAGCGGCACGCGUCUGAUUAGCUCGUUGGUUGAGUUAAUGGCUCACAAAGGCGUCGAUCGGUAGCUGGUCUGAGAGGAUGAUCAGCCACAUUGGGCGUGAGACACGGCCCACACUCCGACGGGAGGAGGCAGUGGGGAAUGUUACGGGAUGGACGAAAGCCUGACGGAGCCAGGCCGCGUGAAUGAGGAAGGUGUUAGGAAAGUAAAAUUCUUUGACCGAGGACGAUAAUGACGGUACCCGAAGAAGAAGCCCCGGCUAACUCCGUG